GACGAACCGUGCGAACGUUAUUCGGAAUCACUGGGCUUAAAGCGCGAUGUAGGCGGACGGGGACGUUCGGUCGCUGAAAUCCCCGGGCUCAACCCGGGGAACUGCGUCCGAUACUGGAAGGCUUGAAUCCGGGAGAGGGAUGCGGAAUUCCAGGUGGUAGCGGUGAAAUGCGUAGAUAUCUGGAGGAACACCGGUGGCGAAGGCGGCAUCCUGGACCGGCAUUGACGCUGAGGCGCGAAAGCCAGGGGAGCAAACGGG
Molecule: ribosomal RNA, 258 nt
Filed under: uncultured bacterium
Lineage: Bacteria
Description: partial 16S ribosomal RNA
Rfam family: Bacterial small subunit ribosomal RNA
Source: RNAcentral